CCCUUGGAUGUUCUGGGCCGCACGCGCGCUACACUGAUACAUGCAACGAGUUUAUAACCUUGAUCUGACGGUCUGGGUAAUCUUCAAACUGUAUCGUGUUAGGGAUCGAUUCUUGCAAUUUUUAAUCGUAAACGAGGAAUUCCUAGUAAACGCAAGUCAUCAGCUUGCAUUGAUUACGUCCCUGCCCUUUGUACACACCGCCCGUCGACUCUACCGAUUGAAUGGUUCGGUGAAAACUUUGGACUGUGGCAUUGUCCUUCAUUGGACUUCGCCGUAGGAAAUUGUUUAAACCUCAUCAUUUAGAGGAAGAAUAAGUCGUAACA
Molecule: ribosomal RNA, 323 nt
Filed under: uncultured eukaryote
Lineage: Eukaryota
Description: partial 18S ribosomal RNA
Rfam family: Eukaryotic small subunit ribosomal RNA
Source: RNAcentral